RNAcentral lists this ribosomal RNA (559 nucleotides) under Penicillium oxalicum. RNAcentral's name for it is "eukaryotic LSU rRNA". The stretch from base 177 to 330 matches the Rfam family "5.8S ribosomal RNA". The record is from RNAcentral. Lineage: Eukaryota; Fungi; Ascomycota; Eurotiomycetes; Eurotiales; Aspergillaceae.
GGCCAACGGGCGAGCUCUGGGUCACCUCCCACCCGUGUUUAUCGUACCUUGUUGCUUCGGCGGGCCCGCCUCACGGCCGCCGGGGGGCAUCCGCCCCCGGGCCCGCGCCCGCCGAAGACACACAAACGAACUCUUGUCUGAAGAUUGCAGUCUGAGUACUUGACUAAAUCAGUUAAAACUUUCAACAACGGAUCUCUUGGUUCCGGCAUCGAUGAAGAACGCAGCGAAAUGCGAUAAGUAAUGUGAAUUGCAGAAUUCAGUGAAUCAUCGAGUCUUUGAACGCACAUUGCGCCCCCUGGUAUUCCGGGGGGCAUGCCUGUCCGAGCGUCAUUGCUGCCCUCAAGCACGGCUUGUGUGUUGGGCUCUCGCCCCCCGCUUCCGGGGGGCGGGCCCGAAAGGCAGCGGCGGCACCGCGUCCGGUCCUCGAGCGUAUGGGGCUUCGUCACCCGCUCUGUAGGCCCGGCCGGCGCCCGCCGGCGAACACCAUCAAUCUUAACCAGGUUGACCUCGGAUCAGGUAGGGAUACCCGCUGAACUUAAGCAUAUCAAUAAGCGGAGGA